Long non-coding RNA from Oxyura jamaicensis (ruddy duck), 821 nucleotides. RefSeq lists it as uncharacterized. The record is from RefSeq and is a predicted model, not a curated record. The transcript is spliced from 4 exons. Lineage: Eukaryota; Metazoa; Chordata; Aves; Anseriformes; Anatidae.
AGAGUUGAUGGCAGCUUCAUGAGCAAGACAUACAGUGCUGUCUCAACUUGUGGAUAGUAGUCUGCAAGUGCUGAAAGCUCAGAGUCUGCAAUAGCAGUACUGACAUGCUGUAUGCAGAAGCUGGCCUUUUGACUCCAUGAGGAUAUUGAAGAUGUUCUGCAAUCCCAACUCUUGUUGGUAUUAGCUUACUGAAUUUAUGUCAGAUAGCCCAGCUGGAUCCCAGCUUGCAUCUAUUCUUCCGCCUUUGGUCCUGGAGGGAUCCCAAAGCAAGUGAUGAUGGUUUGGCAGCUCCUGGGAGAAACGGUGCUCCUUGCGGAGAGGCUGCCUAGACUGGCAUCACUGGCUAUCAGCAGUGACUGGUUGAAAAAAUACCUGCCUCCUUUAACAUCUGUAACAGUUGAAGGCAGAGCUCACCAGUUCAUUUCCAGCAAAGCAGCUUGGCAACCACUUUGCAGUUAGGAAUGAGUUCUGGGGAAAGUUCCACCACCAGUUCCACCACUGGAUUCCUUUCUGGACUGGAGAACCCUUUCUCAAACUCAGGAUAACCCCCUUGCCUGUAUGAAAUGGCUGUUAGCCUGCCCUGCACAGUGGUAAAACAGCAGUGUGAGGUGAAAACAUAGGGAACAUCCCCUCAUGUGGAAAUCUCUAAGUGAUUUAAAGGAAGCUGACAGUUCCCAGAGAAAAAUCAAAGAGAAAAAGCAGAAAUAAAGCUGAUGAAUUCUUCCACAGUCUGAAGGCAAUGGAGAGGAACUUCCAGAUGUAAUUAAAUGCACUGUUAACUUUGUUAUUGAUAAGACUGUCUGCCAGUGGUGAGGAGAUGA